CUGCAACCGCAAAGUCUCCAUGGAAUGCACCUGAGCUCUUUGAUCUUUCAGUUCUUGAGGGUGAAACAAUUAGGGAAUGGAUUUUUUUUGAUAAGCCACGCAGAGCAUUUGAGAGUGGGAAUCGAAAGCAAAGGUCAUUACCCGAUUACAGUGGGCGUGGUUGGCAUGAAUCAAGGAAGCAAGUGAUGAAUGAAUUCGGAGGGCUGAAAAGAUCUUAUUAUAUGGAUCCGCAACCACUGAACAAUUUUGAGUGGCAUCUUUAUGAAUAUGAGAUCAACAAGUGUGAUGCUUGUGCUUUGUAUAGAUUGGAACUGAAAGCUGUUGAUGGAAAGAAGGGUGCUAAGGGUAAAAUAACAAAUGAAUCAGUUGUUGAUCUGCAGAAGCAAAUGGGUAGACUGACUGCUGAGUUUCCCUCUGAUAACAAGCGGUGUGUUAAAGGAAGGACCAGAGUGAAUGCUAAGGUUGGUGUCGGAAGUGUUUAUUCAGCUCCAAAUCGAGUGGCACCAACAAAUGAAACAUUUGAUUAUGAGCCAUGCAAUUAUCUUGUUGAGAAUCUAGGUGACUAUUAUGUGACUUAAUUGAAGAACCUUUGUUUCACGCCGAGCAAGCUGCAAUUGUCUAGUUACAGUAGCUGAGGCAUUAUCUUAUUAUUGGUGGCUUUGUCUUCAGUUUUUCAUAAUUAAUAACGUGAAUUGAAGCUCUUGUUCGGCAGUGAAUUGUGCAUACUUGGUUUUCACAUUGGAGUGCUGUCUGCAUUAGUACUGCUGUAGAUACUGGAGCAUAUUCUAACCUGAAGACGAAGAAAAAUGGCUGUUUUUCAUCAGUCUAUUUUUAACUGAUAUGGUAGGUGAAGACUGGAAAUCAAUUCAUGUCACCAAAAUAGUAAGUGGUGGACGCAAAUUAUAGCAAAAUUAUUUUACUGACAUUUUUGGGGUUUCAAGGCUUUAUACUACUUCUCGGUAUGAUGAUCAUGGGAGAUAUAAUCUUUAAUAUGUAACUUUCUUUCUUCCAAAGACACAAUAUCAUCUGUUUAGAUUCUCAUACUAGAGUUUCUGAGUUGGCUUGGUCAGGAAUUUGCAAAUAAGAUCUGGUAAAUUCGAUAUAAUAAUUAUUUAC
This 1116-nucleotide unclassified non-coding RNA is filed under the name Hevea brasiliensis (rubber tree). The record is from RNAcentral. Lineage: Eukaryota; Viridiplantae; Streptophyta; Magnoliopsida; Malpighiales; Euphorbiaceae.